GCAGGCCGGGUUUAAUCCCGUCCUUAUCAUACGA
RNAcentral lists this transfer RNA (34 nucleotides) under Trachylepis affinis (Senegal mabuya). RNAcentral describes it as "partial tRNA-Tyr". The record is from RNAcentral. Lineage: Eukaryota; Metazoa; Chordata; Lepidosauria; Squamata; Scincidae.